GACGAACGCUGGCGGCGUGCCUAAUACAUGCAAGUAGAACGCUGAAGAGAGGAGCUUGUUCUUCUUGGAUGAGUUGCGAACGGGUGAGUAACGCGUAGGUAACCUGCCUUGUAGCGGGGGAUAACUAUUGGAAACGAUAGCUAAUACCGCAUAACAAUGGAUGACACAUGUCAUUUAUUUGAAAGGGGCAAUUGCUCCACUACAAGAUGGACCUGCGUUGUAUUAGCUAGUAGGUGAGGUAAUGGCUCACCUAGGCGACGAUACAUAGCCGACCUGAGAGGGUGAUCGGCCACACUGGGACUGAGACACGGCCCAGACUCCUACGGGAGGCAGCAGUAGGGAAUCUUCGGCAAUGGGGGCAACCCUGACCGAGCAACGCCGCGUGAGUGAAGAAGGUUUUCGGAUCGUAAAGCUCUGUUGUAAGUCAAGAACGGGUGUGAGAGUGGAAAGUUCACACUGUGACGGUAGCUUACCAGAAAGGGACGGCUAACUACGUG
This 497-nucleotide ribosomal RNA is filed under the name uncultured bacterium. RNAcentral describes it as "partial 16S ribosomal RNA". It matches the Rfam family "Bacterial small subunit ribosomal RNA", at positions 28 to 507 of the family's 1533-position model. The record is from RNAcentral.